Unclassified non-coding RNA from Ursus americanus (American black bear), 329 nucleotides. Its record names the gene 7SK. It matches the Rfam family "7SK RNA". From Rfam's summary of the family: 7SK was discovered as an abundant small nuclear RNA in the mid-70s but a possible function has only recently been suggested. Two independent studies have found that 7SK RNA binds the CDK9/cyclin T complex (known as elongation factor P-TEFb). Lineage: Eukaryota; Metazoa; Chordata; Mammalia; Carnivora; Ursidae. The record is from Ensembl.
GAAUGUGAGGGUGAUCUGGUUGUGACAUCUGUCACCCUAUUGAUUACUAAGCUUGAUUUGGCUGAUCUGGCUGGCUAGGCAUUGUCCUCUUCCUCCCUCACUGCUCCAUGUGCAUCCUCACAAAGUUGUGUGCUCGGUCGAAGAGAACGACCUUCCCCAAUAAUGGAGGACCAUUCUUCUGUCAAGGGUAUACGAGUAGCUAAGCUCCCCUGCUAGAACCUCCAAAUAAGCUCUCAAGGUCCAUUUAUAGGAGAAUGUAGGGUAGUGAAGUUUCCAAGACUCCAGACACAUCUAAAUGAGAUGCUGCAUGUGGCAGUCUGCCUUUCUUA